RNAcentral lists this ribosomal RNA (410 nucleotides) under uncultured bacterium. RNAcentral's name for it is "bacterial SSU rRNA". It matches the Rfam family "Bacterial small subunit ribosomal RNA", at positions 354 to 776 of the family's 1533-position model. The record is from RNAcentral.
GUGGGGAAUAUUGCGCAAUGGGCGGAAGCCUGACGCAGCGACGCCGCGUGGGGGAUGACGGCCUUCGGGUUGUAAACCUCUUUCACCCACGACGAAGCGAAAGUGACGGUAGUGGGAGAAGAAGCACCGGCCAACUACGUGCCAGCAGCCGCGGUAAUACGUAGGGUGCAAGCGUUGUCCGGAAUUAUUGGGCGUAAAGAGCUCGUAGGCGGUUUGUUGCGUCGGCUGUGAAAUCCCGAGGCUCAACCUCGGGUCUGCAGUCGAUACGAGCAAACUAGAGUGUUGCAGGGGAGACUGGAAUUCCUGGUGUAGCGGUGAAAUGCGCAGAUAUCAGGAGGAACACCGGUGGCGAAGGCGGGUCUCUGGGCAACAACUGACGCUGAGGAGCGAAAGCGUGGGGAGCGAACAGG